UACGGGGGGGGCAAGCGUUGUUCGGAAUUACUGGGCGUAAAGGGCUCGUAGGCGGCCAACUAAGUCAGACGUGAAAUCCCCAGGCUCAACCUGGGAACUGCGUCUGAUACUGGAUGGCUUGAAUCCAGGAGAGGUGAGUGGAAUUCCGAGUGUAGAGGUGAAAUUCGUAGAUAUUCGGAAGAACACCAGUGGCGAAGGCGGCUCACUGGACUGGUAUUGACGCUGAGGUGCGAAAGCGUGGGGAGCAAACAGG
This 253-nucleotide ribosomal RNA is filed under the name uncultured bacterium. Its description in RNAcentral is "partial 16S ribosomal RNA". It matches the Rfam family "Bacterial small subunit ribosomal RNA", at positions 524 to 776 of the family's 1533-position model. The record is from RNAcentral.